Molecule: ribosomal RNA, 123 nt
Filed under: Meriones unguiculatus (Mongolian gerbil)
Lineage: Eukaryota; Metazoa; Chordata; Mammalia; Rodentia; Muridae
Source: RNAcentral
AUCUACAAUCAUACCACCCUAACUCAAUAUACCCAAUCCCAUUUGGUCUUGGAAGCUGAGCGUGAUCAGGCCUGGUCAGUAUUUGAAUGGGAAACAGCCUGGGAAUGCCAGGUGAUGUGGGGC